RNAcentral lists this long non-coding RNA (1156 nucleotides) under Physcomitrium patens. RNAcentral's name for it is "long non-coding RNA (PPAT_LNC013972)". The record is from RNAcentral. Lineage: Eukaryota; Viridiplantae; Streptophyta; Bryopsida; Funariales; Funariaceae.
UCGAGUGGUGCUGCCCGUCGGGUGGAACGUAGCGCAUGCGUAACAGGAUGAGGUAGUGAUUGCGGAACAGGGUGAGGUAAUGAUACAGCUAACAAUACUAUUAAGUUGAGUUCACUUGAGAUGUACUCCACGACUCUCCAUUUUCAGCCUGUUCAGGGAAGCGUGAGUUUGAAGUGUCUGUUUAAUAUACGUGGUGAGGUAGUCCAGUGAGAUGACGGCGAAACGGACUGCGCUCUAAGAUACUGACCAGCAUUAACGAAAGAGUGAGGCGAAAGGAUUUCGGUUAGUGUAAGAGAUGAAGGAGAGGGUGCUACAAGCCUCCGGCGAGCUUGCCUAAGGACUCCAGAUGUUUAGUGGAAGCUGUUGUUACCAAUUCUCUUUACACAAGAAAGUUUUCUUGCAUCCAUAGACUGCUGUAUCAUUCAUAACCUCAUGAUUAAUGCAUCACGUCCCUGCGUUGAUAUCAGAAAGUAUUUCAAAUUCUCAGUCUUUAUGGACUGAGAUUUACUAGCAGUUCUUUCUUGGUGUAUUCAUUGAAAUUCUCCGAGAGCACUUCACUUGAACGUUUGGAUAAGUACUGAAAGAGAACGUGUGUUACAAGAGAACAGCGAUGCAUACUUGAGUUAUCUGUAGGAGGAGUAAUGGCGGCGAAUGAUGCUGUGGUUUCUAUGUCGAACAUUCAUGUCAAAAAAUGCGUGGGUUUAUGCGUUCGUCAGCAAUAUGUAAAAUCAGAUUUGUGGCUGAAAUGCUGUGUCAAUCGACAGACUUUGGUUUAAUCCUGACACGAAGGUAUCUUGUGGCAGAUCAACACGGGCACUCUUUCUGUUUAGCCACUCGAUCUUAUCAAGAUCUUCACUCUCACUCUGAAUCAGGACACCGCUGAUGGGCUGUCUUUUUUGUGUCACUCACACAGAAAACAUUCUGCUCCGACAAAAUUUGAACUGAGAAAGCGAAGGUUGUACACUUGCGCCACAACCAUAUGUGACCAACCAACGGUGCUGAAAAUAUCACAACAUGCGCAAGUCGAGAAUCAAAAAGCCUUAUUGUUUUCACCACAAAGGAGUCUAAGAAACGAGCACAACUCAGCACACAGGUGGAACAUUGGUCAGUUUAUUUAUUAUAUUUUAUUCAUUUUUGUCGAAAGCUCUUUCAACCA